AUUGAACGCUGGCGGCAGGCCUAACACAUGCAAGUCGAACGGUAACAGGAAGCAGCUUGCUGCUUUGCUGACGAGUGGCGGACGGGUGAGUAAUGUCUGGGAAACUGCCCGAUGGAGGGGGAUAACUACUGGAAACGGUAGCUAAUACCGCAUAACGUCGGAAGACCAAAGAGGGGGACCUUAGGGCCUCUUGCCAUCGGAUGUGCCCAGAUGGGAUUAGCUAGUAGGUGGGGUAACGGCUCACCUAGGCGACGAUCCCUAGCUGGUCUGAGAGGAUGACCAGCCACACUGGAACUGAGACACGGUCCAGACUCCUACGGGAGGCAGCAGUGGGGAAUAUUGCACAAUGGGCGCAAGCCUGAUGCAGCCAUGCCGCGUGUAUGAAGAAGGCCUUCGGGUUGUAAAGUACUUUCAGCGGGGAGGAAGGGAGUAAAGUUAAUACCUUUGCUCAUUGACGUUACCCGCAGAAGAAGCACCGGCUAACUCCGUG
Molecule: ribosomal RNA, 490 nt
Filed under: uncultured bacterium
Lineage: Bacteria
Description: partial 16S ribosomal RNA
Rfam family: Bacterial small subunit ribosomal RNA
Source: RNAcentral